GACGAACGCUGGCGGCGUGCUUAACACAUGCAAGUCGAACGGAAAGGCCCUGCUUUUGUGGGGUGCUCGAGUGGCGAACGGGUAAGUAACACGUGAGUAACCUGCCCUUGACUUUGGGAUAACUUCAGGAAACUGGGGCUAAUACCGGAUAGGAGCUCCUGCUGCAUGGUGGGGGUUGGAAAGUUUCGGCGGUUGGGGAUGGACUCGCGGCUUAUCAGCUUGUUGGUGGGGUAGUGGCUUACCAAGGCUUUGACGGGUAGCCGGCCUGAGAGGGUGACCGGCCACAUUGGGACUGAGAUACGGCCCAGACUCCUACGGGAGGCAGAAGUGGGGAAUAUUGCACAAUGGGCGGAAGCCUGAUGCAGCAACGCCGCGUGCGGGAUGACGUCCUUCGGGUUGUAAACCGCUUUCGCCUGUGACGAAGCGUGAGUGACGGUAAUGGGUAAAGAAGCACCGGCUAACUACGUG
RNAcentral lists this ribosomal RNA (468 nucleotides) under uncultured bacterium. RNAcentral's name for it is "partial 16S ribosomal RNA". It matches the Rfam family "Bacterial small subunit ribosomal RNA", at positions 28 to 507 of the family's 1533-position model. The record is from RNAcentral.